CUUUUUCCUGAUGCCUUUUGUUUUGUAGCUUUAGGUUCGGUGUUAAAAAUGCCAGUGUGAACGCUAAGCGAACCAGGACUAAAUGUAUCAUUUUCUUUUUUGGUCCGUACCAAGAGAACCGAACUACAAGUGUGAACACACCCUUAGUGAGCUGUCUCCUGCCUACAUAGACAGCUGUCUUCUAUGGCAGCAUCUGAAAUGAUGCCUCAUAUACACCAAUUUGGAACGCCCUACAUAGGUGGCAGCUCCACGCAUAGUUCAAACAGCGAUCCUCACGCACAGCGCACGCGAGACUCGACCCGCAACUGAUUUCAAUACUGGUGAUGCGAGAAGAACAACGUGAUACUCUAAUGAGCAUGAAUAGUUUGAGUAAAAUAGUCAGUUUUCUAUUAUAUUUUCUAUAAUAUUAAACAAUUACAUUACGACACUUUUCAGUAUUGAAUGGUUUGUUUAUAAUCAAAAUUUCUCUCGCUUCGUCCGCCACUUGGAUUAAUGCUGCCUUCAUGUGCUAUCGGAAUUAUCCUACUUCCCAGUUCUGAAGUGGUAAUUAUGAGUACAUCGUGUGCACGUGCUUUGUUGUUGGAAAGAACGGUGUUACAAUAUAUUCAGUUCCUGAGACAUUUGGUUCCAGUGGGUGGAGCCCAUAUGAAUAUUAAUGAAUUAUCCUGACAUGCGUGUUGAAGUGAAACUGAAAAUGUUAGCGCACCACCGUCAUGACUCAAGUUCAACUUGUCUAAAGGAUUAUUUUGAAAAGGUAUUUAAGUUUCAGCAUCGAACAAAGUAUGUAAUAACUACAAUAUUCAGAUUUUCGUAAUAGUUUGUAGUUUAUAAGUGCAAUAUGUGUUUUCAUUAGUUUUGUGUUCCUGAGUACAGCAUUUACUGAAGUAGGUAUUAGGCAAAUUUAGAGUACAACAGAGCAAACUUUAGCAAAUACAAAUACAGUAGUCUACAGUUAUCGUGCCUUGUGUUAAACAUACUGAUUCUGUCCUCACUUAGACAAAUAGGUAAACUCCUUCACACAUAGGCUUGUGGGUGAGCUUUCCUUUUAUUCAACAUCACAAUGAAUAUGUUGAAAAAGAGUGAAACUGCAGUAAAAGGAUGAAAAUAUAAUACGUCUACUUGAAUCUCUAACAACACCGCUCCAAUAUGAGUUUUUUUUUUUUGUGGUUUAAAUAUUUAAUUACAUAUAGCUAUAUAAACAAUAAAUACAGGAAUUAUCACUUACAGACAAUACUUUCUACAAGUGAUCACAGAAAGGAUGGCUUCAGUAGUCUAGCUGUGAUAGUAAUUUAAGCACUGCACUUUUCUGAAUAAAAAUGUAUCAGAAUGUUUGCUGGCAACCGUUUAAAAGACUGCAUGACUAGGUAAAGAACUGAUAGUGACUAGCAAGCAAUAAAGCAUUAAAUAAAUGAUUAAAUACAUGAUCCAGAACAAUACUCAAGUCUCAUUCACAGGUGUUCUUCUCAUUUCUUAUUUUCAAGUUUAGCCUACUCUAUGUACAAUGACAAAAUCAUCUGCUGCACACACCAAAGGCAUGUUGCACCAAUUCCGGCCUUCUGUAUUAUACGUUAUGCAAAUAUUAGUCACAUGAAGCAAUGUUACCAAAGCCUAAUAAUUUGAGGAAGCAGUCACCAUGAACGUGGCUCUUCUUGGUAAGAUAAUGAAAGCUUCAAAACAUAAUUUGAAAUUAAACUCAAGAUUAGUGAGUGCCCCAGAAAAUAGUUUAUUAAAACAUGCUUGGCACACUGGACAAAUGAAACAGCCUCCAUAUUUGCUUGGAUAACAUACUGCCAGUGGUGCCAGCCACUGCAGCUCUCACAUUCAAUCUGAAAGAGAUAAUGACAUUGACAUCACAUGAGUAUGAAUUUAUUCUUAAAAGAUCAUGUAAGGUUAAUACAUAUUUGAAUUUUGUAAAGCAAACUGAAAUACCAAAUAAGUUUUCAUAUUAACACACUAAAAUGUCCACUCACAGUGUCUUCUGUGAAAUGAUAUUUGUACCCUACUAAACACAAUUCUGAAUAAUAAUGAUAAUAAACAUGCCACAAGAACAAAGCAUAAAUCAACAUUUCAUGUUGCAACAUUAUAUUAUGGCAUAUAUUGAUAAGUGACCCACAUGAAUUGCUAUCAGGUUAACUGUGAUAAAGGCAGAAACUUGUAUCUUGUUUCCAGUAGAAAUAUUUAAACAUCCUUGUAAAGCAUAUUUGCCAUAAAGUGUUAAGACUCACUGAAAUUAUAACUUGUUUUUGUUUAUUUCUUGUUUUUAUUUCUUGUUUUCUGACAGCCAAUUACAGUAGCAUUGAAACCUUAAUUGUUAAUAAAACACCUCUUUGUGGAAAAAUGUUACACAACCUAUGAAUUGUUGCAAAAUAUUACUUAUUAAUAUACAACAUUAAGAAUUUAAAAAGCUACGGGGUGGUUAAGUGGCUUAAGCUUGCUCUCCUGUAUCCUAAAGUGGCUGACUGUAAUCAUUCGUGCAAGAAUAAAAAGCGCACCGACUAAUCAAAAGCACUUUUGACAAAUUAUCAAAUGUUACAGAAAUGUAAACUGUUGUAGUUUAGACUAUCUUUGGCAACGUUUAAUUACCUUUUCGAAAUAAUCGUUCAGACAUGUUGAACUUGAGUCAUGAUGGUGGUGCGCUAACAUUUUCAGUUCCACUUCAACACACAUAUCAGGAUAAUUCAUGAAUAUUCAUAUGUGCUCCGCCAACUGGAACCAAAUAUCUCAGGAACUGAAUAUAUUGUAACAAUGGGAAACAAUGCCAGGAUAAAUCAGCCUCUAAAGGGCACUUCAAAAGUAGAACAAUCAUUGCCGCCAUGUUGAAGGGCUAAUCCAAACCAAACCGAAGUGCACAUAAAUAGCUACUUCGAAGAGACCCUCAAAACGAACGUUUCCGUAUGGGUUCAACUAAUGGAUACUGCUGCCAAGCAGACCAGAUCCGGACCAUACUUCAUAAAUCGGCAGGUUUCCCAAGGGUGCAACUGAUCUUCAUUAGUGCCAGCCUUGUGUGAAGCGGCUCCUUUGGCUUGGAUAGAUGACGUUGAAAUGGAUUCCGAAUGACCGAUAUUUUUGAGCCCUACACCCUUCAACCCUCCGAAGCUCUCACUCUGGAGGGUAAACCCUAUGAAGGAAUAAGGGCAUAGCGAUUAGCCCUUCGGAAUGGAACGCACGCUUUUAGUACUGUCAACUGCUGGCGCAUGCUAAGAAGACUGGAGGCGUGUGGACUGUGCACGUGUCGAGAAAAUCUGGGCCGUGUGCGGACAGUCCAUGCAGACUGUGCUGAGGACGAAAUUUGCAUCACGCAUGCUGUGAGCAAAGUGAUCAGCAAUGCGGACAACCAAAGUAUACUUUGGGCUUCAGUUGUAUUAAACCCGAAACAUUCCUUGAAAAAAGCUAGUAAGACCCAUAAUAUUUUCAGAGACCUUAUCUGCUGUGUUCCUCACACACACAGCCAUCGUAUGGACUGGAAGCCAUAUAGUGCACAAGUCAUCAGACAACUUUCAUGUUACUGUUUUGUCCUUUUUGGAGCUUGGCAGCAUCUGGUCUCCAUCUACUUACUUAUUCAUCAAUAGCUCAUAUUGUGUUCCAUGGAAUAACAACAAACUUACAGGAUUACCAAAGCUGCUUAAAUGUGUCAUACCAUCAAGAAAUGGCCUGCAAAUAUUUACAAGCAAUGUACUUUGUUUGGUCUAAUUGGUAAACGCAUGAAAACGAAGUUGCUCAAGUUUAUCUUUAUACAAAAAGUGUUUAAAAGAUUCAGCGUAUAUGUAUGGUUAUGGCACACUUUUUUAAUUCUCUUACAUAUUGUUUUCUCUACUUCCCAAAAAUUCUAUAAACCUCUUGUGUUCUUUCAUCCACCCAUUCCUUUGACAAAUGACCAUGGGUUUGUGUAAGGCUCCUUUCAGCCUGUCAAUAAUCGCUGAACUGAUUCUUUCAUAAGUGAUUUAUUCAUUUAACAUGGCUAAUUUCCUGAUGCCAACAGUGAAGGAACUCAUUUUUAGUUAUAAGCAGUUAAGAGGUCCUCUUCACACCUUACAAACCUCCAAGAUAAUGAUUUCUAGGUGACCUGUCAUGGCUGCCUUCAUAGCUGUGUGUUCUGCAAGAUGUUGCAAAGCUCUCAUUUCUCAUUUUUGGCUUAUGCUCUAUUGAAACACCUUUCUUUUCAUGCCUUGUGAAACCAAAUACUUAAAUACCGCACCUAAUACAUCAUCAUUGCUCUUUCAUCAUGUAACAGUGA
This is a long non-coding RNA of Myxocyprinus asiaticus (Chinese sucker), 4234 nucleotides long. RefSeq lists it as uncharacterized. The record is from RefSeq and is a predicted model, not a curated record. The transcript is spliced from 3 exons. NCBI's taxonomy places the organism in Eukaryota, Metazoa, Chordata, Actinopteri, Cypriniformes, Catostomidae.